CACUCUGUAGCUCAGUUGGUUAGAGCGCUGCACCGGAAUUGCAGGCCCACAGGUUCGAUUCCUCGGACCAG
Molecule: non-coding RNA, 71 nt
Organism: Paramuricea clavata
Lineage: Eukaryota; Metazoa; Cnidaria; Anthozoa; Malacalcyonacea; Plexauridae
Source: the annotation of a GenBank genome assembly